This 32824-nucleotide long non-coding RNA is filed under the name Triticum aestivum (bread wheat). RNAcentral describes it as "long non-coding RNA (TAES_LNC009925)". The stretch from base 13843 to 13957 matches the Rfam family "MIR1120/MIR1122 microRNA precursor family". Lineage: Eukaryota; Viridiplantae; Streptophyta; Magnoliopsida; Poales; Poaceae. The record is from RNAcentral.
CCUUACAAUGGAAAACAAUUUAAAAAAAGCAAAAAAAAAAACUAGAUGCUUCCGCUUUCCCUACACACACAUGGGCCAGCCCAUGAGUCGGCGCGGGGGAGCGGGGGUUACGCGCUACGUCUUUCGCUGGCGCGUACAGCGCUAAAUGGGAUGUCUCGGUGUAGCAUCUCAUUGAAUCCCGGAUGCAUGGUCCGACCAUCUCUUCAAACCGAAAGCUGCCCAUAUGGUCCAUCAUCCUGGCGUCUGAAAUACUUUUGGAAAGACAAUUAUGGUUAGUUUUCGGAUAAGUACUCUCGAUAAUCUACAAAUAGGAGAUGUUUUAUUGUAUUUUGAUUACUUUUGGAUAGACAAUCAUUACUAUUAAUAUCAUCCUUCGUAUCUAGAUAAAGUAAGACAAUCUAUAAAUAGAAGAUUUUUUAUUCUGUUUUGUUAAGUUUGGAUAGACAAUUAUUAUUAGUAUUAGCCUUGGUAUCUAGAUAAAUAUAAGGCAAUCUAUAAAUAGAAGUUUUUUAUUCUGUUUUGACUACGUUUGGAUAAACAAUUAUUAUUAUUAGUAUCAUCCUUCGUAUCUAAAUAAAUAUAAGACAAUCUACAAACAGAAGAAUUUUCAUUCUGUAGACAAUUAUUAUUAUUAUUAGUUCAGGAUAAAUACAUAUGAAAUGCCGUGUGAUAAAUGUGGUAAACGAUCGAUCCACACAUGAGGAAUAUAUCUAGACAUGUUUUAGUGUUAGAUACGUAAAUACCUUCGUAUUUAAUAAGUCUAAGCCAAUUUUUUGGGACGGAGGUAACAUAUAAAGAGGGGUCUUGCCCUCAUGGGCAGAGCAGCACGGAGAGCAAAGUUGGCUUCCCUACGCAACGAUAACAAGGGUAGCUACCUCGCAAACCUGUGUGCACUCUGCAAGCAGCAGUCUCCAAAAUGCUGGCUUGCUGCUGCUUGGUUGUGUCCCAGCUGCUCAUCGUAAUAACACUCAUAUACCUUGUCAUUACCAAGAGCAAGGUCCGCUGUGACACGUGCUCAUCAGCGACGGUGCCGCUUCCACUUCCGCCGGGGCCAUGUCCGUGGCCAGUGGUGGGUAACCUGCCCGAGAUGGUGGUCAACAAGCCGGCAUUCCGUUGGAUCCAUCGCGUGAUGAAGGAUAUGGGCACCGACAUCGCCUGCUUCCGCCUCGGCGGCGUCCACGUCGUCCCGAUCACAUGUCCCAAGAUCGCAAGGGAGGUGCUCAAGAAGCAGGACAAAAACUUCUCGUCCCGCCCACUCACCUUCGCCUCCGGCGUCAUCAGCAGCGGGUACAAGGACGCCGUGCUCUCGCCGUUCGGUGACCAGUGGAUGAAGAUGCGCAAGGUGCUCACCUCUGAGAUCAUCUGCCCCUCCCGUCACAAGUGGCUCCACGACAAGCGCGCCGAUGAAGCUGACAACUUGACGCGCUACAUCUACAACCUCACUGCCGGGGGGUUGUCAUCUUCAACGUCGGGACUAGCCAACGUCAAUGUCAGGCACGUCGCGCGGCAUUACUGCGGCAACAUCAUCCGCCGGCUUGUCUUCGGCCAACGGUACUUCGGGGAGCCUCAGCCGGACGGCGGGCCGGGGCCAAUGGAGGUGGAGCACAUGGACGCUUCCUUCGCCCUCCUAGGGUUCACCUUCACGUUCUGCGUCAGCGACUACCUCCCGUGUCUACUUGGCCUAGAUCUCGACGGCCACGAGAAAAUUAUUAAGGAGGCCAACACAAAAGUGGAUAGACUGCACGACGUGGUCAUCGAAGAGCGUUGGAGGCAGUGGAACAGCGGCGAGAGGCAGGACGGGGUCCAGGACUUCCUUGACGUUCUCAUCACGCUCGCCGACGGUGACGGCAAGCCGUUGCUCAGCAUCGAUGAGGUCAAAGCACAAUCCAAGGUAAGCAAAAUAUUAAUUAAUGAGAAAUUUUAAGAUGGUUCAAGGGCCUAGAUUGAAUUUAGUACCCAAUUGCCUCAUAGUCCUACAAGGUACUAAUACGUCAUCCAUGAGAAAAGGUAAUAGCUCACACUAUUAAAUACUAGAUCUUAUACCGUAUUUCGCAGGUGUUAGAAAAUGGAAACAAUAGAAUAAGAAAUUAUGAAUUAAUAGUUUAAACAUACCAUUAUUGUAAUUUUCUACCAUUUUGAUGUGAUUUCAACUUAAAUUUUAUUUAAAUUUCCAAUUAUUCAAUGUAAUCUCUCUUUAUGCAAAGGUAUAAAUUGUAAUAACUUACAUUUAUCUCCAUGGAAUGCAUGCAGGGCAUAAUAUUAGCGGCCAUUGAUAACCCGUCAAACGCAGUGGAGUGGGCACUGGCGGAGAUGGUGAACAACCCAGAAUUGCUGGCCAAGGCGGUGGAGGAAAUGGACCGGGUGGUCGGUCACGAGCGACUGGUGCAAGAGUCGGACAUCAUGCAGCUCAACUAUCUCAAGGCAUGCAUACGUGAGGCAUUCCGCCUCCACCCAAUCGCUCCCUUCAACCUGCCGCACGUCGCGAUUGCCGACACCAUUGUUGCGGGCUACCACGUGCCCAAGGGUAGCAACGUCAUCCUCAGCCGGCUGGCCCUGGGCCGGAACCCCACCGUCUGGGAUGAACCGCUCCGCUUCAAGCCGGAGCGCCAUAUGGGAGACAACAUCAAUGUGGUGCUUACUGAGAGCGAAUUGCGGUUCAUCUCCUUCAGCACCGGACGACGGGGAUGCAUCGCGGCAUCACUAGGAACAACCAUGAGUGUCAUGCUCUUUGGCAGGCUCCUGCAUGGCUUCACCUGGACCAAACCGGCUGGGGUGUCGGCCAUCAAUCUCAGCGAGUCCAAGCGCAACCUCUUUAUAGAGAAGCCGCUAGUGCUACAUGCUGAGCCACGUCUUCCAGUGCACCUCUACCCUCUCAUGCAUUGUUGAGCAAAUAACGAGCUAUGAAUCACCGAUAUGGCGAGUAUGCUAGCUAUUUUUUUGAUGAAUCUAUAUUUACUAAUAAAGGAAGGAAAUAUUCUUUUUUUCAUCCCGCUUUGUUUCGUUCCACUUCGAUUGAUUUUCACGUAUGCUAGCUAUUUUGGUUUUGUCUGUUUCACGUACGAGCGAGCAUGUUUCUUUCAUGCGCCGCGGGAUCGUCCUAGGCUUGUCCAAAGCAUUGGAACAGUACGUGAUAGGCAAACAAUCACCCAUCUAGUAUUAAUUUUGGACAAAUAGAGAUUAAAUGUAUAUAAGAUGAUGCUCUUUAUAUCACCAACGAAGGAUGAAAGUAGGUCGGCGCAUAUAGGACAACUCCAUUUGAGUUGUUUCUUCCGGCCCAAGUCCCAGGCGGGGCAGCAUAGAAGAUGAGGGUUUUUUUUUUGAGGUGAGAAGAUGAGAAGUCCGGUUGAAAACAGACAGAUGGGCCGGCCUGUGCGUUUGGUCGAGUAUCACAAUGAGAGACGUAUUCAUCAGAUGGGCAGCUAAACAGAAGCACGAGCCCACUUCAUCAUCAUAAAAUAAAAUAAACUCGGCCGUCUUUCUUCGUCGCGAGCAGCCGCGACGUGAGAUGACCCGGGCGCCAUGGCCGACCCCUCGCUCCGUCCGGCAGGCCACGGAGCUCCACGCUGUCCUCACCGCCUCCGGCCGCCUCCUCAACCAGCCCUCCGCCGCGCACCUCCUCAACUCCCUCGCCAGCUGCAUUUCCCCCGGCGACCCGCUCCACCUCCGCUACGCGCUCAGCCUGUUCGACCGAAUGCCCUGCUCCACCUUCCUCUUCGACACCACGCUCCGCGCUUGCUUCCGCGCCUCCUCGGGACCUGAGCACCCGUUCCUCCUCUACCGGCGUAUGCGCCGCGGGGGCGUGCCCCCCGACGCCUUCACGUUCCACUUCCUCUUCAAGUGCUGCUCCCGCGGCCGCGCGCACGUCCUCCUGUGCCGGAUGCUGCACGCCGCGUGCUUCCGUACCAUGCUUCCCUCUGCAGACCGCACCACUCCGUCGCCCGCGCUUCCCCUCUUCCCCGAGCUCCCCGGAGAGGCCCUGCCGCCGAGCCACACCUCGCUGUACUGCAGGGAUCAUGCCACAGCACCUCCCCUCCCCAAAGUUUGUGCGCCACUAUGCAGACUCCUUCCCCACCGCCGGCCAACUGCCGCCGCGUACCUGUCGAGCAAAGUGCUCGAGCAAAUUCCCCUACUAGUGGCAGAAUCUUCAGUUCCAGUUGUUGGCUAACUAACGGUCACUUAAUCUAGUGCAAGCAGCACCAUUUAAAAGUAGGUUGCGGCCUUUCCCCCAUCUGAACUUUUUUUAAUUGCAACUAUGUAAUUUGGUUGUGCCUAGCAGCAAGAAAAAGAAGAGAAGGAGUAAUGACUGAGCGGUGGCGAUGCAAUGCGACGAGCAGAAGGUUAGCUGGAGCCUGCAGGCUGCAGGCAUGGGCGCCGAGCUGCUAAUACUUUGGGGUGGCUCGUAAUGUACUUGGCCGAAUGCUAUUACUGCUACAAAUGAUCAAAUGGAGAAGUAAAGUGGGGCAAAAGAUCCAAUUUAUUUGGUGGGAACUCCUAGUCAGCGCCUUUAGCGCCGCGCUAGCUAACCGGCGCCUGCAGCCGCGACUGGAUGGGCCGGCCCACAAUGGCGCGGCGAGGAAAAAGGCGGCCCAAAAACCUGCAAUCGAUCGCGAUCGAUCUUGCGCCCUCACGCUUCCAAAGACCGAGGCUAACCACUUGACCAGCCAAACUGUAGUGAUUAUUUAGAGCGUGAAGUUUAAAAGAAUAGAAACACAUACGCACUAUUAAUUUCGCAUUACACUGUAGCAUUUAGAUUUUCCAAUUAUUUAAAAACAUGUCCAUAUUACAAAUGAAGUUCAUGCGCAUGCAAAAAUAGUUCGCGUACUCAAAAAAUAGUUCAACAAAUAAAAAAGUACAUGUAUUCAAAAUAAAGUUCACAGAUUCAAAAGAGUUCAUCAAUUUUCAAAAAAUUUCCAUCGAACAAUAAAAUUAGUUCAUCAAUUUGAAUAAAAAAAGUUCAUCAAAUUUGAAAAAAGUUCAUCAAAAUUUGAAAAAAGUUCAUCGGAUUUCAAAAAAGUUCAUCUAAAUUGGAAAAAGUUAAUGUAUUCAAAAACAAGUUCACAAAUUCAAAAGAGUUCAUCGAUUUUCAAAAAUGUUCAUCGAAUAAUGAAAGUAGUUCAUCGAUUAGAAUAAAAAAGUUCAUCAAUUUGAAAAAAGUUCAUCAACGUUGAAAAAAAGUUCAUCGAUUUUGAGAAAAAUUUAAAAUAAAUGAAAAAGUUCAUCAAAUUUGAAAAAUAAGUUCAUCGAUUUUGAAAAAGGUUCAAGAGUUUUAAAAAAACAGUUCAUGGAUUUUGAAAACAAGUUCAUCUAUUUGAAGAAAACAAUUACGAAUUUGGAAAAAGAAAGAAGAAAAGAACAGAGAAAAAAGAAAAAGAAAGAAAAAAAGGAAAAAUUGAAGGUAUAAAUGGAUGAAAAACGUUUUUGUUAUCAUAGUUAGUGAGGUAGCCGGGUUGGUCACGCCACAAUCACUGAUAACCAGCGAUUCAGGGUUUGAAUCCUAGCUCGCGCUGUGUUUUUGCAGUUUUCCAUAAAGUUUAGAGAGCGGAAGAAAAAUGAAAGAUGGGCCGGCCCACGAGAUCCUGCUGCAGGCGCCGGUUAGCAAAAACAGUACAAACCGGCGCCUGCAGCGCUAUACUUGAGAGCUAAUCCAGGUUGAACCCAAAACUGAACUUGAACCUGGACUUCUCUAGCUGAGGCUGCUCCGUCCACUUGCUAGCUUCAUAUGCCAUAAGUAGAGACCAGCUACACGGAGAAGAAAAGACAAGUAAUAAAUCGUAUAGUGGCGGUUACUUCUAGGAGAUAAGACAUAGAGAUAAAGACCAAAAGGUCUGGUGUAAAAAAAUGCACAACUUUUCUGUAUAAAAAAUUACUAUUAGUUUGCGUGCUGACCGUUGAGAAUUUGAGAUCAUGAUUCAAAGUGUCACUUCGUAGUGCUAGUGCUACUAGGAUUCCAUAAGAAUUGUGCGCAACAUAAAGUUUUCUUUUGUUGUUGAGUGAUGUGUGCUGAUUUUACGGUGUCACUGCAAAACCCAACUAGUCACACGCACGCACGCACACACAAAGUUUUGAAAAAAAAAGAAAACUUCCCACGCUCAACGACCCAACUGUUGUUGAGCGGUCCACGCAUUUAGGAAAAACAGGUUUAAGAUGACAUUUAAUUUUAGAAUUGUUCGCGUGGAGACUAGAAAUAGGAAAUUUGAAAAAUUAGAACACUACUAAAAAAUGAAAAUUAGUUGAAGUUCAUGUGUGAAAAUCAUGGAGGGUCAAACACACUAAAAACGUCAACUAAAAACUUUUAUCAACAAUUAACAUAGAAAGUAAAAAUACACUAGUGAAGUUCGAAUGAGUAGCAUAAAUAAAGUCCACACUUACACUCCUUCAAAGUUAGCAUAAAAAAGUGGAAUUUUUACGGACAAACAAGAAUCACCAAAGAAGAAAACAAGCAUCACCUAGAAUAGUGUAAACUGUUGAAGUUCAAAUUUAGUAAAUUAUAGAAUUCAAAGAAAGUGUUAUGGGUGUACAAAAUUUUUCUCCAACGGAUUUUCCCGUUACUGGAAAACAAUAACAAAAAAAAUUAAAAAUUAAAAAUAACGAAGAAUCUUAAAAUAUGUAACAAAUAACAUAUUUUCACGUUUAAAAAACACAAGCAAGGUCAAAUUAAAAUAAUGUAGCACUUCAGAAAAAUAAUGAAAUAGAUUACCCCUGUUUCUCACAAAAAUCUAGAAGUUCAACUAAAAAUGGCGGAGCUGUUUGAUGUUUAAUAGAAAAAUAAUUUGUCUUCGCUUCCAAAACAAAAAUAAAACCAAGAAGUCCAAAUUAAAAAGAUGCAGCAUUUCGAUGAUUAUAGAGAACUCAAAUUUUGUUCGUUAUGAAAGAAUGGAAACACCAAGUUCAAAAUUAAAUCACACAAUUGUUCAAUGUAUAAAAAUUAGAAAAUCCGAAUCCGAUGAUGGGAACAUCAUAAGAAAGUCAAACAAAAAUAACUCGGAAGUUCAAAAGAUAACAUGGCACAUUGAAGUGGAUAUUUCACCGUUUCUACAUAGAAAACAAUAAGUUCACAUUCUAAAAAUAGAGGGGUUCAAAAAUCACUAAAAAGGAUUUUCACCGUUUCUAAAUAAAAAAAAAACUCUAGAAGUUCAUAUUUAAAUAACGAACCGGUUCAAUACUUAUUACAAAGCUAGAAUAUUUCCGUUACUAAAAAAAUAAACCAUGAAGUCCAAAUAAAAAAAUAGAGAAGUUUGCUACUUAUAAAAAAACCCACAUUUUCUUGGUACUAAAAGAAAUAAAAUCAAGAACUUCAAUUUUUCACAUUUCUAAAAAACACACAAAAAAGUUCAAAUAAAAAAGUUAAAGCGGUUCAGUGUCAAUAAAAAACUCAUAUUUUUACCAUUACUAAAGUGAAACAGAGAGAAGUUCAAAAUGAUAACAGCCAGAAGUUCACAUAGUGCACGGUGUGUGUUUCAUAUGAGAAAAACAGUAAAAAGGCGAAGUCUAAAAUUUUUGUUGCAAGAAGUUCAAGUGCUCUUCCCUGAGAAGUUAAAAAAAUUAUUGUUAAAGAUGUUCAGCAUGUGCUUACAUGUUCAAAAAACGCAAAAAGAAUGUUGUGUCUCAUGUUUUAAAAUAAUUCUCUCAGUCCACCCCAAAUUUGGAACAAAGAUACUCUAUAUGAAAAAAGUUCUUUUCUAUUCAACAACUUUCUACAUUAAAAAACAUCUCAAACAAUUUUAUAAAAACGAUUUUCUCUGUUAAAAGUAACCUAGAAGUCAAAUUUAAAAAUGGAGUGGCUCGAUGUCUGUCAGAAAGUAGGAUUUUUUCCGUUAAUAAAAGAAAUAAAACCAGGAAGUCCAAAUUAAAAAGAUGGAGAAGUUUGAUGGUUAUAGAAAACUCAGAUUUUCCUUGUUAUUAAAGAAUGGAAACAAGAAGUUCAAAAAUUAAAUAACAAGAAGUUCAACUUUAAUAAUAUAGUGCAUCAAAAUUUCAUAAAAAGAUUAAGAAAUAAUACGAGGAAGUCCAUAUUAAAAAGAUGGGGAAGUUCGAUGAUUAUAGAAAACUCAGAUUUUCCUUAUUAUUAAAGAAUGGAAACAACAAGUUCUAAAUUAAAAUAACAAGAAGUUCAACUUUUAAAAAUAGGGCGCUUCAAAAUUCAUAAAAAAGAUUAAGAAAUUCAGAUUAAUAUUCAUAAAAAACUCAGAUAUUUUCACGUAACCGAGAUAAGUUCAGAUUGAUAACUGCCAGAAUUUCACGUACUACAGAAUGUGCAUUUUGUAUUAAAAAGGAAUAAAAAACAAAGACUAAAAGUUUUGCUGUUAUAAGUUCAAGUCCUCGGCCGGAGAAAGUUAAAAAAAAUUAUUGUGAGAGAGGUUUGUACAAAAGAAAUAUCAUUUGUGUAACACUAUCGAUUGGAUGAGAAAUUACAAACAAAAAUACGUCAUAGAAGUUCAACGUGAAAACAACAGGAAGUUCAACUACUGCACUGAAUGAAUUUCACAUGAAAAAACUUUUAAAACCAUCGCGAGUAUGAAAAACUGAUCAACACGGAAAAGUUGCAUGUUUACAACAGCUUUCCAUCGGUAUAUAACUUGCUUAAUUUCGGUGAGUGGAUGGAGAGCUACGAGGAAAAAACACAUGAAAAAUAGAGUAAAGUUCAAGUAGACAUGCUGAGAAGUUAAAGUUCUUCACGUGGUGCAUUUUCGAAAAAUCUGUUUCGCGAUAAAGGCAGAACGAAUGAUCUCGCUGUUUUCAAAAUUACUUGAAAACGGCUAGGAAUUAGAGAAAACCAUCUACAUGAAAAAGUUUUGCAUUUUCCGUAGCUUUUCAACGGUAUAUUAUUUGCCCCAUUUAGGUAAAGUUUUUAGAAUUACGGCCAAAAAAUAUUUUUAGCCAUUUUCAAAAUUGACUUAAAACCAUACGGAAUUGGGAGAAAAAAUAUAUACCGAAAAGUUUCGCAUUUCCUCAAGCUUUCCAACGCCAUAUCAUUUGCUGCAUCCGGACGAACGAUUAAAAUAUUAGCUCGAAAAUACGAACUCGGUGGAACUUGUACCAUUUUCUAAAUUACUCUUAAACCAUUCAAAAUUAGAAAAAUUUCAACAUGAAAAAGUAGCGCAUUUUUAUAUGCCUUUCAACGCGAUAUCAUUGCCUCAAUUGGAUUAGCCGUUUAGAAAUGACAUCAAAAAUACGAACUCGGCUGUUCGGUUUGCGAAAUUUUAUGAUUUUCCAAAUUACAGUUUAACCAUAUGAAAUUAGAGAAAACUAUCAGCAUGUUGAUGAAGAGGUUUUGCAGCAGCUUUCCAAUGCCAUAUUAUUUGCCUAAUUCCGAUAAACUGUUUAGAAAUGAUAUCAAAAAUAUGAUUCAUGUUUUUUGUAUGAAGAAAAAACGGUUUUCAAAACUGCUCUUGAACCACUUACGUUUUGCCAAAAAAUCAACUUGGGUCGUGAUACUCAUGUCCAUAGCUUUCCAACGGUAUAUCGCAAGCCCUAUUUGGGCAAUGUUUGCGGAAGUUCAACCUAGCACUGGGGGAAGUUCAGGUCGAACAACUCGGGCAGUAAAAUUGCAACACACGCAUGUUCAUCACGAAACCGUUUGCAAAUCCGCCAAUGAGCCAGAUUCCUAUUUGAAAUGGACAUUUAAUUGCUAAAAACCGUUUGCAAAUUACACUUACAUCACAUAGAACACGACUGACCAUAAAAAUUUACGUGGGGAGACACGGUUGCGAAGAUAGCCCGGAGGUCGGGUUCCUACAGAGGGAAGUUCAGUUGUGUAACUCAGGAAGUUCAGAUUGGGAUCAGAAUAGUGUUUAUUUGUGUGUGUGUGUGUGUGUGACAAAUUUUAUCGACCAUCAGUGAUUAUUACCACCACUUGAGUUUUAUAUGUUGUAUGUAGUAUAUAUCAAAUCGGAGAGUAUGUACACGUAGUAUUCAUUAUAUAAGAAUGUUUACGUAGUAUAUAUAUACUAUUUUUUAGGAUAGUAUGCGGCGUAUUUUGGGUAUGCUCUUUUUUACGUACAAAUAUAUGUGUAUUUUGCAAAUAUAAUAAAAACCAUGAGCUAACUUGCAAUUUUUUCAUGUAACUCACUUUGCAAUAUGUUAUAUAAAAUAUAUGAACACAUUUGAAAUUAUAAAGUAGUAUAUAUAAUACAAUAUGAUAGUAUAUUAGACAUGUGAGAUAACUAUCCCUGGGUGGUAGGAUAGAUUUUCUCUCUCUCUCUCUAUAUAUAUAAGUUAUUUUAUUAUGUAUCUUACAUAUUUGUCUCUCUCUCUCUCUCUCCGUAUAAGUUGUUUUAUUACAUAUCUUACAUAUUUAUUACAAGUAGAAGUAACUUUUAUCUUGCAUCAUAUUUGCUGCAUAGAUGGUUAUAUAAGUGACAUAUAUAGCUUGAGAAAAAAACUAGCUUAGCUUCUUGUUAGUAUGAGAGAAUAACUACUUCAGCUUCUUGUUAGUACAGUGUUCGAUACACUUCACGUCCACAUUUAAUUAUUCUACAACUACCCAUCACACUUGGUGAUUAUCAUACUUAUGACAUCCCUAACGUCAACCCUCAAACUGUCUGCAUACGUUCGGAGCGUGCGAUCCGGACGUGUAUUGACAUCCAAGCGGGUUUGUAUCGGUCCACUUGGCCGUCCAGAUGUACAUUUUCCCGCAAACCAUAGACAAACUAGUGGGCUUUGCGGGCGUUCGGACCGUUGCCACGCCCGUGUCUGACCACCCUGGCCCACCAGAAACCCCCCACCGCCUCUCCCGUGCUUUUCAUCAAACGCCCGGCGGGUCAAGGACGAGCCAUGCAUUGCCCCAGCCCAACCAUGACAUCUAGAUCGUACGCCGCGUCAAGGACGAGCUGCCCCCACACAACCGCGGCGUCCAGAUCGGACGCGGGGUCAAGGACGAGCCGACGUCGCCCCGGCACAACCGGUACACCUGCAUUGAAGGGCCUGCCUCGCCACCCCGCCGCCACCACCCUAUCAUGGAUGAGCUGCCGCUCGCGAUCACGAAGGCGCAAAGCUGCAUCCUCCAUUACAUCCGAAGCAGCGGUGUCGGUGGUUCGUUAGGCUCCACGGUCAUCAUCUCCGACAAGGAGCGCGUGGUGAGGUAGCAGGCGCGAUACGACCGGCGCAACGCUGGCCAUCGCUCCGUGUUCGCCAAAAUGGAUGUGGUGCUGGAUUGGAUCCCAAACAACCCCAAUCUCGCUGCUGUGUGGGCCCUCGAUCGCUCCUUCACCACCGCAGAGAUAGGCGCCAGGCACCGUGAUACGUCCCCAACGUAUCUAUAAUUUAUGAAGUAUUCAUGCUAUUUUAUUAUCAUUCUUGGAUGUUUUACAAUCAUUUAAUAGCAACUUUAUAUCAUUUUUUGGGACUAACCUAUUGACCCAGUGCCAGUUGCUGUUUUUUGCUUGUUUUUUACAUCGCAGGAAAUCAAUAUCAAACGGAGUCCAAACACCGCGAAACUUCUUGGAUAUUUUUUAUGGACCAGAACACCCAAGAUGGGCCAGAGCAGCACCUGGGGGUGCCACGAGGGGGGCACAACCCAUCAGGGCGCGCCUGGGGGCCCAGGCGCGCCCAGGUGGGUUGUGCCCACCUCGGUGGCCUCCCGCACCCCCUCUUUACAUUAUAAAUUCACAAAUAUUCUGAAAACCCUCGGGGUUUACCUAGAUCAGAAGUCCCGCCGCUGCAGGCCUCUGUAGCCACUGAAAACCAAUCUAGACCCCGUUCCGGCACCUGCCGGAGGGGGGAAUCUUCUCCGGUGGCCAUCUUCAGCAUCCCGGCGGCCACUACGAUGAGGAGGGAGUAGUCCACCCUCGGGGCUGAGGGUUUGUACCAGUAGCUAUGUGUUUAAUCUCUCUCUCUCUCUCUUGUGUUAUUUAGAUGUCACGACCUUGAUGUAUCGCGGGCUUUGUUAAUACAGUCGGAUCAUAUGGUGUUUUCCCCUCUCUAUCUUGUUGUGAUGAAUUGAGUUUUUACCUUUGAGAUUUCGUUGUUAUCGGAUUGAAUAUUUUUAUGGAUUUGAGAACACUUGAUAUAUUUCUUGCAAUUGAAUACUCGUGAUGACAAUGGGGUAUCAUAUUGAUUCACUUGAUAUAUGUUUUGGCACCCAACUCGCGGAUUCCUGAGGUGACAUUGGGGUAAUCUAUGCAUAGGGUUUGAUGCAUGUUCUUGUCUUUGUUUCCCCGGUAGAAAUCUUGAGGCACUCUUUGAAGUAUUUUGUGUUGGAUUGAGUAUUAUGAAUAUGAAUUUUCUUUGGUGUUAUUUUAGUACGAACUCUAGGAUAGAUCGAACAGAAAGAAUAGCUUUGUAUUAUUUUAGUACGAACUCUUGAAUAGAUUGAACGGAAAGAAUAGCUUUGAGGUGGUUUCGUACCCGACAAACAAUUUAUUCUUAUGUUCUCCGCUAGAUAGGAACUUUGGAGUGAUUCUUCAUCGCACUUUGAGGGAUGGUUAUAUGAUCCAAUUAUAUUAGCACUGUUGAGAGAUUGCACUAGCGAAAGUACGAACCCUAGGCCUCAUUUUCAAGCAUUGCAAUACCGUUUUUGUGCCCGUUUACUAUUUUCUACCUUGUUAUUUUUAUUUAUUUAGAUUAUAAAAAUAUAUUUCUACCAUCAAUAUUACACUUUUAUCACCAUCUCUUCGCCGAAUAGUGCACCUAUACAAUUUGUCAUUGUAUUGGGUGUGUUGGGAACACAAGAGAUUUCUUGUAUUUGGUUGCAGGGUCAUUUGAGAGAGACCAUCUUCAUCCUACACCUCUCACGGAUUGAUAAAUCUUAGGUCAUCCACUUGAGGGAAAAUUACUACUGUCCUACAAAACUCUGCGCUUGGAGUCCCAACACGUGUGUACAAGAAUCAAGUUGCGUAGUAGGCAUCACACCGUCGCUGCCUUGACGGCGAGCUCAUCAAGAUCGGCGAGGAGUGGUCGCUCGGCGACUACUCCGCCAAUGCCGGCCGCGGAAAGUCCGCCACCAGGGCACCGAGGGCUACAUCGGAAGUGGUUGCGGUGGCCCAACGCACCGCACAGCAGGAAGUAGAGCGGCUCUUCCGCGAACGGCAGGCAGCUGCCGGAUAAGGUUGUGGCGGCCCUGCAGCACCGUUCCGCCAUUGGAGGGACCACGACGACGGCAUAAACGAUGAAAGCGGUACGGCAGACAGGGCGGUCACGCGUAUGAGGUGGUCGUCCGGUAUAGGUUUUAGUUUUUUUCUAGUUUUUUAGUUAAAAGGUUGAAAUAUCGUACUUUUUAUGUAAAUUAUGACCUUACUUUAAUAAAAUCUCUCAUGUUUGCAUGAAUUUCGUCUGUUUAGUACAAACAGUGGUUGUUGAAAUGUAUGCGAACAACGUUGGAUGGCUGGCUCCCGCAUCCGUGUCCGGGCAGUGGUUCUCCUGUCCGCCGCGGACGGAUGCUGGAGCAAAUUUGCGGGUCAGAACCGUAGAUGCCCUUAGCUAAGAAUAGUAGAUGAGUAGAUAUUAUCAUUUAAUUAUACAUGUGUGUACACAUAUGAUUUAGGAAAUCUUUCAUUUUCUUGCCAACUAAGCAUAUAUUUGGGCUAGAUCAUCGUGACUAAGUUUGUACUGAUUUCCCGUUGUUAAUGCUUUCUUUCGAUAUCAGAAGAUAUUGUAUUAGAUAGAUUUAUUGUAUAAACAAUGUACACCGAUUAAUGCUCUGAUUGGAAAACAUAAUGAUGUGAUAUUUACUUAAUUAUUUAUUAUAAUUAAUAAUGCAUUCAUUUUACACCAUCAACUAUGAGUACAAAAGUAAUUAUGAUAUAUUUUCAUAGCUAAUGCAUCCCUGGUAUUAUUGAUUCCCGCAGCUUUAUUUGUAACAAAUUUGAUUCCCCAAAUACUGAUUGAUUUGAUAACUAAAAUAUUGAUAUACUCCCUCCGUUCGGAAUUACUUGUCUCGAAAAUGAAUGUAUCUAGAACUAAAAUACGUCUAGAUACAUCCAUUUCCGCGACAAGUAAUUCCGAACGGAAGGAGUAGAAGAUAUUAUUAAUUACCAUUAAACAAUUGACAUAAAUAGGCUGCAAUAUGUAUCUAUAUAACAGUAGGAGAGGUGAACACUACCACAAGCAAAAAGUAUGCCCAAAGAGCACCGAUCAUUGAAAAGGUACUAGGCUGUUGCGGCAAAAUAAAACUCAGAAAGCACUAGUGCCUCUCGAAAUGGCUAUCUUCAAGAAGAAAGCAGGCUCCCUGUUUUUGGCAACUCUCAUGGUCAUGGCUACUCUUCUCUCCUCAUGCGACGCGAACAACGAGGUUAUGUUAUUUUACAUGUCUUCCUUAUUCUCCUUGAUCAUUUGCUUAACGUGCAUCUUGAAAUGUUGAGAUCCCAUUAGAACUAGUGUAUAUUUAGCAAUGCCAAAAUAUAAGGUGGCAAGCUAUGUUGCACAUAAUUGGCCUAACAAAAUGUGUUGAUCUGGUGCAGAUACAAACAGAUGCUCUCCCCCUACCUGCGAAGUGCUAUGAGUUGGACUUACCUAACUGCACGUUGGAAUCAUGCGAGAAAUUUUGCCAUGGAGGAAAGUGCACUUCCUACGAUGGCUGUUGCUGCCCCAUUGCCUAAGGCACCACUAAAAUGAUAAAAUAUGUUUUGCAUAAUAAAAGAAAACCCUACAUGCAUAAUACAUAUAUGUAUGUGCUAGCUCUGGGGCUUUCUAAUCCUAUAACUAAUCUACCCGCUCUGUCCUGAAUUACUUGUCGCAAAAAUAGAUAAAAUUAAAUGUAUUUAGAACUAAAAUACGUCUAGAUAUAUCCAUUUCCACGACAAGUAAUUCUGGACGGAGCAGUAUAUUAAAGCAAGCAUGUUCUUUCUUCGGUAUUGCGAUUGAUAUGGAUUAAGCUACUCUAAAACCCCUGGUUCCUAACUCUGGCGACUUGCCCGAUCCUUUCCCGUCGAAAAAAAUGAACCUUAUACUUUUCUCUCUUCCUCCGACAUGUCAGUGACUUAGUUUGGUAAACUCAGGGAGUCGCGUGCGCCGCCGACUCCUGCCCGCCUUCUUUCCCGCCAGCGCCAAGUAACCGCACGCGCCGCCAGUCAAUAGAUCCACCACGCGCCCCGCCCCAAAGCCCCCACCGAGUACCGCGUACAACCCCAAAUCCCCGCUGCCGGCCGGUGCCCAGCACCUCCAUGGUUGCCACCAUAGUUGUGGACCCCCAUGACCCCAUCGCGCUGCUUGUGUCGGAUUCGGGGUUCCGCAGACCCUUGAGAGGUUCAAACUCUGGGGUGUGCACGAAGGACUCUUUCUCCCCAGCCUGCCUACCCAACGAUUUCAUGGCCUAGCUCGACGAACCCAAAGAACACGAGACACACAGGUUUAUACUGGUUCGGGCCACCGCGUGGUGUAAUACCCUACUCCAGUGUGGUGGUGGAUUGCCUCGAGGGCUGAGGAUGAACUAGUACAGUGGAUGAACAGCCUUAGGAGGAGAGGUGUUCUUGAGCUCGACGAGCUGGUGGGUGUGAGGAUGGAAUGGAUCCGAUCCAAGAUGAGUUUUUCCCUACGGUGGUGGCUAGCCCUAUUUAUAGAGGCCCUGGUCCUCUUCCCAAAUGUUAGGCGGGAAGGGAUCCCACAACGACCAAGUUUUAAGGGGGACAAAUAGUACAUGCUAUCCUGACAAAAGUGGUCUUCGACGGCCAAAGGCUCUGGUGGUGACGCUGCCGUGGGCUCUGUAAUGACCUCCAUCCUCCCGUCCUGCUGGUCUUGGUCUUGUUGCACCGAUAUGAAAACCUUUGCCUGAUGCAUCGGGUCUCUUCGCCUGCGCUUGCCUCUUUGGCACCAAAGAGGAAACUGGUACGUUGCGCCUGCUGGCACGCGCCAGGCCUUGGUCGUCAUGGCUCACGUCAUGUAAACCUUGCGAGGUGUCCCCUGCAUAGAUAUCUCCGCUCCUCGGGAGCCAGCCUAGCGAAGCCGCCCCCAGGGAGGCCUUGGUGUCGUCUGCCUCGCGAGGCUUGGCCCCUCGUGAGGGUCUUGAGUAGUUGUUGCCGAAGCCGGGCCAUACCGGGCCGUUGGUGGAGCCACGCCGUGGGCCGCAGGCAGGCAAGUCUAGGCACCCCUGUUCGCAGGACGCCGAUAGUAGCCCCCGGGCCCAAGGCGUGCUCGAACAUGGCUUCGAGGCGAAGCCAAAAGGCAAGUGCGGAGCGCCGCGGGCCCCAACCGCCUGUGGCCUUGAUUGACGUGUGGCGAUUGACGGGACGUUGGCGCCUUCGCUUCCCCACGCUGCCUCAGCAACCGUUCGACUUGACGAGACCCUGCUGCAUGCAGAAGAAAACCAUCAUUGCAUGCAAUCGUGGAGGCCGACGGUUGGCCUCCUCCUGGCUAUAAAUGAGGAGAAAACCAUCAUUGCGUGCAAUCUCCUUCUUCUCUCUGCCCGCUCCUCCUUCUUCCUCCUCGCCUUGCUGUCUUGCCGCGACACCCAUGGCGCCGAUAUGGAGAUUCUCCAUUGUUGAGAAAGGAAAAAAAACCGUGAGGAGCAGGGGCCACUUCCGCCGAAGAAGAGGUUUGGCUGCUCCCGCGAUGCUGGCGUGAGGGUGGAGGUGAUGAGGCCUUGGUACGAGCGGCCUCCUCCCGGCUACCCGCUGCCCUUGUACGCCCAAGCGCAAGGCACCGGAGGAGUAGGCGACUCCCCGCGCAGCUCGCGUUACGGCCGUGGUGGCCAUGCUGUGGUCGCACGAGCCGCCGACCCAUGAACCCACGCCGAGGGCUCCUCGCGUGAGUUCGUGGUGUGGGCGGCGAUGCCACCGCGCACAUGGAUCAAGCUUCCGUGGUUCUUUGCCGAAGAGAUGCCGCCAAGUGGGCCGCUCGAGUUGUGGCUGCAGCACGCCAAAUGCAGCACUCCGGCAAAAGGGGCGGAGAUCGAGGUCGUCUCCCCGGGCAAGAUCUUCAUGACCCGCGGAUGGGGCGAGGUCGCCCGCACUUGCCGCGCGGAGGGGGCUGAAGGAAAUAUGCCCUAUAGGCAAUAAUAAAGUUAUUAUUUAUUUUCUUAUAUCAUGAUAAAUGUUUAUUAUUCAUGCUAGAAUUGUAUUAACCGGAAACAUAAUACAUGUGUGAAUACAUAGACAAACAGAGUGUCACUAGUAUGCCUCUACUUGACUAGCUCGUUGAUCAAAGAUGGUUAUGUUUCCAAGCCAUUGACAUGGGUUGUCAUUUGAUUAACAGAAUCACAUCAUUAGGAGAAUGAUGUGAUUGAUAUGACUCAUUCCGUUAGCUUAGCACCCGAUCGUUUAGUAUGUUGCUAUUGAUUUCUUCAUGACUUAUACAUGUUCCUAUGACUAUGAGAUUAUGCAACUCCCGUUUACCAGAGGAACACUUUGUGUGCUACCAAACGUCACAACGUAACUGGGUGAUUAUAAAGGAGCUCUACAGGUGUCUCCGAAGGUACUUGUUGGGUUGGCGUAUUUCGAGAUUAGGAUUUGUCACUCCGAUUGUCGGAGAGGUAUCUCUGGGCCCUCUCGGUAAUGCACAUCACUUAAGCCUUGCAAGCGUUGCAACUAAUGAGUUAGUUGUGGGAUGAUGUAUUAUGGAACGAGUAAAGAGACUUGCCGGUAACGAGAUUGAACUAGGUAUUGAGAUACCGACGAUUGAAUCUCGGGCAAGUAACAUACCGAUGACAAAGGGAACAAUGUAUGUUGUUAUGCGGUCUGACCGAUAAAGAUCUUCAUAGAAUAUGUGGGAGCCAAUAUGAGCAUCCAGGUUUCGCUAUUGGUUAUUGACCGGAGACGUAUCUCGGUCAUGUCUACAUAGUUCUCGAACCCGUAGGGUCCGCACGCUUAACGUUUCGAUGACAGUUAUAUUAUGAGUUUAUAUGUUUUGGUAUACCGAAGGUUUUUCGGAGUCCCGGAUGUGAUCACGGACAUGACGAGGAGUCUCGAAAUGGUCGAGACAUGAAGAUUGAUAUAUUGGAAGCCUAUGUUUGGAUAUCGGAAGUGUUCCAGGUGAAAUCGGGAUUUUACCGGAGUACCGGGAGGUUACCGGAACCCCGCGAGAACUUAAUGGGCCUUAGUGGGCCUAGGUGGAAGAGAGGAGAGGCGGCUAGGGCUGGGCCGUGCGCCCCUCCCCCCAGUACGAAUAGGACAAGGAGAGGGGGCGGCGCCCCCCUUCCUUCUUCUCCUCCACUCUUUCCCCCUCCCAAGUCCUAAUCCAACUAGGAAAGGGGGGAGUCCUACUCCCGAUGGGAGUAGGACUCCUCCCGGCGCGCCCUCUCCCUUGGCCGGCCGCACCCCCCCUUGCUCCUUUAUAUACGGGGGCAGGGAGGCACCCUAGAGACACAACAAUUGAUCUGUUUGAUCUUUUAGCCGUGUGCGGUGCCCCCCUCCACCAUAGUCCACCUCGAUAAUACUGUAGCGGUGCUUAGGCGAAGCCUUGCGUCGGUACAACAUCAACAUCGUCACCACGCCGUCGUGCUGACAAAACUCUCCCUCAACACUCGGCUGGAUCGGAGUUCGAGGGACGUCAUCGAGCUGAACGUGUGCUGAACUCGGAGGUGCCGUGCGUUCGGUACUUGAUCGGUCGGAUCGUGAAGACGUACGACUACAUCAACCGCGUUGUGCUAACGCUUCCGCUUUCGGUCUAUGAGGGUACGUGGACAACACUCUCCCCUCUCGUUGCUAUGCAUCACCAUGAUCUUGCGUGUGCGUAGGAAUUUUUUUGAAAUUACUACGUUCCCCAACAGUGGCAUCCGAGCCAGGUUUUAUGCGUUGAUGUUAUAUGCAUGAGUAGAACACAAGUGAGUUGUGGGCGAUAUAAGUCAUACUGCUUACCAGCAUGUCAUACUUUGGUUCGGCAGUAUUGUUGGAUGAAGCGGCCUGGACCGACAUUACGCGUACGCUUACGCGAGACUGGUUCUACCAACGUGCUUUGCACAUAGGUGGCUGGCGGGUGUCCGUUUCUCCAACUUUAGUUGAACCAAGUGUGGCUACGCCCGGUCCUUGCGAAGGUUAAAACAUCACCAACUUGACAAACUAUCGUUCUGGUUUUGAUGCGUAGGUAAGAACGGUUCUUGCUAAGCCCGUAGUAGCCACGUAAAACUUGCAACAACAAACUAGAGGACGUCUAACUUGUUUUCGCAAGGCAUGUUGUGAUGUGAUAUGGUCAAGACAUGAUGCUAAAUUUUAUUGUAUGAGAUGAUCAUGUUUUGUAACUGAGUUAUCGGCAACUGGCAGGAGCCAUAUGGUUGUCGCUUUAUUGUAUGCAAUGCAAUCGCCCUGUAAUGCUUUACUUUAUCACUAAGCGGUAGCGAUAGUCGUAGAAGCACAAGAUUGGCAAGACGACAACGAUGCUACGAUGGAGAUCAAGGUGUUACGCUGGUGACGAUGGCGAUCAUGGAGGUGCUUCGGAGAUGGAGAUCACAAGCACAAGAUGAUGAUGGCCAUAUCAUAUCACUUAUAUUGAUUGCAUGUGAUGUUUAUCUUUUAUGCAUCUUAUCUUGCUUUGAUUGACGGUAGCAUUAUAAGAUGAUCUCUCACUAAAUUUCAAGAUAAAAGUGUUCUCCCUGAGUAUGCACCGUUGCCAAAGUUCGUCGUGACCAGACACCAUGUGAUGAUCGGGUGUGAUAAGCUCUACGUCCAUCUACAACGGGUGCAAGCCAGUUUUGCACACGCAGAAUACUCAGGUUAAACUUGACGAGCCUAGCAUAUGCAGAUAUGGCCCCGGAACACUGAGACCGAAAGGUCGAGCGUGAAUCAUAUAGUAGAUAUGAUCAACAUAGUGAUGUUCACCAUUGAAAACUACUCCAUUUCACAUGAUGAUUGGUUAUGGUUUAGUUGAUUUGGAUCACGUGAUCACUUAGAAGAUUAGAGGGAUGUCUUUCUAAGUGGGGGUUCUUAGGUAAUAUGAUUAAUUGAACUUAAAUUUAUCAUGAACUUAGUACCUGAUAGUAUCUUGCUUGUUUAUGUUGAUUGUAGAUAGAUGGCCCGUGUCGUUGUUCCGUUGAAUUUUAAUGCGUUCCUUGAGAAAGCAAAGUUGAAAGAUGAUGGUAGCAGUUACACGGACUGGGUCCGUAACUUGAGGAUAAUGCGCAGCUCACCAGGGAGGCCGGCAAUGCCGGUGGUGUGGAGGACAAGGCCGCGACGGCCGCGGAGGCAGAGGAGCUCGCCCGGUGGGCGGCGACCGCCGGGGGAGCCAGCAGCGCCGGCACCGAGGCUCCACUGGUCGAGGAUGUGACCGGCGAGUCGUCGUCGGAGGGGGAGGAGACCACAGACCCGGCGCCACGUGCGGGGAGGGGGCGAGUCCUGCGGCGGGCUAGUUCCGGUGAGCCGGUUCGGCCCCGCGGCACUGCGCAGCCGCAGUUGACCUUGGAGGGGUCCCGGCCCCACACGUGGGCCGCGGCGGCGAAGAAGCCAGCCAAGGUCGCGGUGAAGAAGAAGACAACCGCUCCUUCUUCACCCAAGUGUGCCUAGACGCCGCCUCCCUCGCCUCCUCCGGCGAACGUCAGCGCGGGGAUCACCUUUGAUUUUGGAUCCCUCAGUCCGAGGAGGAAGAGGAAGACCGCAGAGGAGGAGGAGGACGAUGAGUAAGCAUUCGGUUCCUCUCUGUCAUUUCUGCCUCCUCACCCUGUGUUGCUUAUCUUGACUUGUCACAAUCCUUGCAGGGACGCGGAGACGCUGGCCCAGAGGAUGAAGUGUUGGGGAACGUAGUAAUUUCAAAAAAUUUCCUAUGCACACGCAAGAUCAUGGUGAUGCAUAGCAACGAGAGGGGAGAGUGUUGUCUACGUACCCUCGUAGACCAAAGCGGAAGCGUUGACGCAACAUAGAUGAAGUAGUCGUACGUCUUCCCGGUCCAACCGAUCCAAGCACCGUUACUCCGGCACCUCCGAGUUCUUGACACACGUACAGCUCGAUGACGCACCCCGGGCUCCGAUCCAGCAAAGCUUCGGGGAGGAGUUUUGUUAGCACGACGGCGUGGUGACGAUCUUGAUGUUCAACUAUCGCAGGGCUUCGCCUAAGCACCGCUACAAUAUGACCGAGGUGUAAUAUCGUGGAGGGGGGCACCGCACACGGCUAAGGAACGAUCACGAAGAUCAACUUGUGUGUCCUGGGGUGCCCACCGCCCCCGUAUAUAAAGGAUCAAGGGGGAGGUCGGACAGCCCUUGGGGCGCGCCAAGGAGAUGGGGGGAGUCCUCCUCCUAGUGGGAGUAGGACUCCCCUUUCCUAGUCCAACUAGGAAUAGAGAUGGGGAAGGAAAGAGAGGGAGAGGGAGAGGGAAAGGGGGGCCGCGCCCCCCUCCUAGUCCUAUUCGGACUCCCCAUGAGGGGGGCACGCCACCUCCUGGGCUGCUGCCCUCUCUCUCCCCUCAUGCCCACUAAGGCCCAAUACUUCCCCGGGGGGUUCCGGUAACCCCUCCGGCACUCCGGUUUUACCCGAAAUCACUCGGAACAAUUCCGGUGUCCGAAUAUAGCCGUCCAAUAUACCGAUCUUUAUGUCUCGACCAUUUUGAGACUCCUCGUCAUGUCCGUGAUCACAUUCGGGACUCCGAACAACCUUCGGUACAUCAAAAUACAUAAACUCAUAAUGAAACUGUCAUCGUAACUUUAAGCGUGCGGACCCUACGGUUCGAGAAUAAUGUAGACAUGACCGAGACACGUCUCCGGUCAAUAACCAAUAGCGGGACCUGGAUGCCCAUAUUGGUUCCUACAUAUUCUAUGAAGAUAUUUAUCGGUCAGACCGCAUAACAACAUACGUUGUUCCCUUUGUCAUCGGUAUGUUACUUGCCCGAGAUUCGAUCGUCGGUAUCCAAUACCUAGUUCAAUCUCGUUACCGGCAAGUCUCUUUACUCGUUCCGUAAUACAUCAUCUCACAACUAACUCAUUAGUUGUAAUGCUUGCAAGGCUUAUGUGAUGUGCAUUACCGAGAGGGCCCAGAGAUACCUCUCCGACAUUCGGAGUGACAAAUCCUAACCUCGAAAUACGCCAACCCAACAAGUACCUUCGGAGACACCUGUAGAGCACCUUUAUAAUCACCCAGUUACGUUGUGACGUUUGGUAGCACACAAAGUGUUCCUCCGGUAAACGGGAGUUUUAUAAUCUCAUAGUCAUAGGAACAUGUAUAAGUCAUGAAGAAAGCAACAUACUAAACGAUCGAGUGCUAAGCUAACGGAAUGGGUCAUGUCAAUCACAUCAUUCUCCUAAUGAUGUGAUCCCGUUAAUCAAAUGACAACUCAUGUCUAUGGCUAGGAAACUUAACCAUCUUUGAUCAACGAGCUAGUCAAGUAGAGGCAUACUAGUGACACUCUGUUUGUCUAUGUAUUCACACAUGUAUUAUGUUUCCGGUUAAUACAAUUCUAGCAUGAAUAAUAAACAUUUAUCAUGAAAUAAGGAAAUAAAUAAUAACUUUAUUAUUGCCUCUAGGGCAUAUUUCCUUCAGUCUCCCACUUGCACUAGAGUUAAUAAUCUAGUUCACAUCGCCAUGUGAUUUAACACCAAUAGUUCACAUCACCAUGUGAUUAACACCCAUAGUUCACAUCAUCAUGUGACCAACACCCAAAGGGUUUACUAGAGUCAAUAAUCUAGUUCACAUCGCUAUGUGAUUAACACCCAAAGAGUACUAAGGUGUGAUCAUGUUUUGUUUGUGAGAGAAGUUUAGUCAACGGGUCUGCCACAUUCAGAUCCGUAUGUAUUUUGCAAAUUUCUAUGUCAACAAUGCUCUGCACGGAACUACUCUAGCUAAUUGCUCCCACUUUCAAUAUGUAUCCAGAUUGAGACUUAGAGUCAUCUAGAUUAGUGUCAAAACUUGCAUCGACGUAACCCUUUACAACGAACCUUUUGUCACCUCCAUAAUCGAGAAACAUAUCCUUAUUCCACUAAGGAUAAUUUUGACCGCUGUCCAGUGAUCUACUCCUAGAUCACUAUUGUACUCCCUUGCCAAAAUCAGUGUAGGGUAUACAAUAGAUCUGGUACACAGCAUGGCAUACUUUAUAGAACCUAUGGCCAAGGUAUAGGGAAUGACUUUCAUUCUCGUUCUAUCUUCUGCCGUGGUCGAGUUUUGAGUCUUACUCAAUUUCACACCUUGUAACACAGGCAAGAACUCUUUCUUUGACUGUUCCAUUUUGAACUACUUCAAAAUCUUGUCAAGGUAUGUACUUAUUGAAAAAACUUAUCAAGCGUCUUGAUCUAUCUCUAUAGAUCUUGAUGCUCAAUAUGUAAGCAGCUUCACCGAGGUUCUUCUUCGAAAAAAUCCUUUCAAAUACUCCUUUAUGCUUCGCAGAAUAAUUCUACAUUAUUUCCGAUCAACAAUAUGUCAUUUACAUAUACUUAUCAGAAAUGCUGUAGUGCUCCCACUCACUUUCUUGUAAAUACAGGCUUCACCGCAAGUUUGUAUAAAACUAUAUGCUUUGAUCAACUUAUCAAAGCGUGUAUUCCAACUCCGAGAUGCUUGCACCAGUCCAUAGAUGGAUCGCUGGAGCUUGCACAUUUUGUUAACACCUUUAGGAUUGACAAAAACUGUCUGGUUGCAUCAUAUACAACUCUUCUUUAAUAAAUCCAUUAAGGAAUGCAGUUUUGUUUAUCCAUUUGCCAGAUUUCAUAAAAUGUGGCAAUUGCUAACAUGAUUCGGACAGAGUUAAGCAUAGAUACGAGUGAGAAACUCUCAUCGUAGUCAACACCUUGAACUUGUCGAAAACCUUUUGCGACAAUUCUAGCUUUGUAGAUAGUAACACUACUAUCAGCGUCCGUCUUCCUCUUGAAGAUCCAUUUAUUCUUAAUGGCUUGCCGAUCACCGAGCAAGUCCACCAAAGUCCAUACUUUGUUCUCAUACAUGGAUCAUAUCUCAGAUUUCAUGGCCUCAAGCCAUUUUGCGGAAUCUGGGCUCAUCAUCGCUUCCUCAUAGUUUGUAGGUUUAUCAUGAUCUAGUAGCAUGACUUUCAGAACAGGAUUACCGUACCACUCUGGUGCGGAUCUUACUCUGGUUGAUCUACGAAGUUCAGUAGUAACUUGUUCUGAAGUUUCAUGAUCAUCAUCAUUAUCUUCCUCACUAAUUGGUGUAGGAGUCACAGGAACAGAUUUCUGUGAUGAACUACUUUCCAAUAAGGGAGCAGGUACAGUUACCUAUUCAAGUUCUACUUUCCUCCCACUCAUUUCUUUCGAGAGAAACUCCUUCUCUAGAAAGGAUCCAUUCUUAGCAACGAAUGUCUUGCCUUCGGAUCUGUGAUAGAAGGUGUACCCAACUAUCUCCUUUGGGUAUCCUAUGAAGACACAUUUCUCCGAUUUGGGUUUGAGCUUAUCAGGAUGAAACUUUUUCAUAUAAGCAUUGCAACCCCAAACUUUAAGAAAUGACAACUUUGGUUUCUUGCCAAACCACAGUUCAGAUUGUGUUGUCUCAAUGGACUUAGAUGGUGCCCCUUUUUUUAACGUGAAUGCAGCUGUCUUUAAUGCAUAACCCCAAAACGAUAGUGGUAAACCGGUAAGAAACAUCAUAGAUUGCACUAUAUCCAUUAAAGUACGGUUAUGACGUUCGGAUACACCAUUAUGCUGUGGUGUUCCAGGUGGCGUGAGUAGUGAAACUAUUUCACAUUGUUUUAACUGAAGACCAAACUCGUAACUCAAAUACUCUUCUCCACGAUCAGAUCAUAGAAACUUUAUUUUCUUGUUACAAUGAUUUUCCACUUCACUCUGAAAUUACAUGAACUUUUUCAAAUGUUUCAGACUUCUAUUUCAUUAAGUAGAUAUACCCAUAUCUGCUCAAAUCAUUUGUGAAGGUCAUAAAAUAAUGAUACCCGCUGCAAGCCUUAACAUUCAUCGGACCACAUACAUCAGUAUGUAUGAUUUCCAACAAAUCUGUUGCUUGCUUCAUUGUUCCGGAGAACGGCGUUUUAGUCAUCUUGCCCAAGAGGCAUGGUUCGCAAGCAUCAAGUGAUUCAUAAUCAAGUGAUUCCAAAAGUCCAUCAGCAUGGAGUUUCUUCAUGCGCUUUACACCAACAUGACCUAAACGGCAGUGCCACAAAUAAGUUGCACUAUCAUUAUUAACUUUGCAUCUUUUUGGCUUCAAUAUUAUGAAUAUGUGUAUCACUAUGAUCAAGAUCGAACAAACCAUUUUCGUUGGUGUGUAUGACCAUAAAAGGUUAUAUUCAUGUAAACAGAACAACAAUUGUUCUCUAACUUAAAUGAAUAAUCGUAUUGCAAUAAACAUGAUCAAAUCAUAUUUACGCUCAGUGCAAACACCAAAUAGCACUUAUUUAGACUCAACACUAAUCCCGAAAGUAUAGGGAGUGUACGAUGAUGAUCAUAUCAAUCUUGGAACCACUUCCAACACACAUCGUCACUUCACCCUCAACUAGUCUCUGUUUAUUCUGCAACUCUUGUUUUGAGUUACUACUCUUAGCAAUUGAACCAGUACCAAAUACCGAGGGGUUGCUAUAAACACUAGUAAAGUACACAUCAAUAACAUGUAUAUCAAAUAUACCUUUGUUCACUUUGCCAUCCUUCUUAUCCGCCAAAUACUUGGGGUGGUUCCGCUUCUAGUGACCAGUCCCUUUGCAGUAUAAGCACUUAGUCUCAGGCUUAGGUCCAGACUUGGGCUUCUUCACUUGAGCAGCAACUUGCUUGCCGUUCUUCUUGAAGUUCCCUUCUAUCCCUUUACCCUUUUCUUAAAACUAGUGGUCUUGUUAACCAUCAACACUUGAUGUUUUUCUUGAUUUCUACCUUCGUCAAUUUCAGCAUCACGAAGAGCUUGGGAAUUACUUUCGUCAUCCCUUGCAUAUUAUAGUUCAUCACAAAGUUCUACUAACUUGGUGAUGGUGACUAGAGAAUUCUGUCAAUCACUAUUUUAUCUGGAAGAUUAACUCCCACUUGAUUCAAGCGAUUGUAGUACUCAGACUAUCUGAGCACAUGCUCACUAGUUGAGCGAUUCUCCUCCAUCUUUUAGCGAUAGAACUUGUUGGAGACUUCAUGUCUCUCAACUCGGGUAUUUGCUUGAAAUAUUAACUUCAACUCCUGGAACAUCUCAUAUGGUCCAUGACGUUCAAAACGUCUUUGAAGUCCCGAUUCUAAGCCGUUAAGCAUGGUGCACUAAACUAUCAAGUAGUCAUCAUAUUGAGCUAGCCAAACGUUCAUAACGUCUGCAUCUGCUCCUGCAAUAGGUCCGUCACCUAGCAGUGCAUCAAGGACAUAAUUCUUCUGUGCAGCAAUGAGGAUAAACCUCAGAUCACGAAUCCAAUCCGCAUCAUUGCUACUAACAUCUUUCAACACAUUUUUCUCUAGGAACAUAUCAAAAUAAACACAGGGAACAACAUCGCGAGCUAUUGAUCUACAACAUAGAUAUGCUAAUACUACUAGGACUAAGUUCAUGAUAAAUUAAAGUUCAAUUAAUCAUAUUACUUAAGAACUCCCACUUAGAUAGACAUCCCUCUAAUCCUCUAAGUGAUCACGUGAUCCAAAUCAACUAAACCAUAACCGAUCAUCACGUGAAAUGGACUAGUUUUCAAUGGUGAACAUCACUAUGCUGAUCAUAUCUACUAUAUGAUUCACGCUCGACCUUUCGGUCUCCGUGUUCCGAGGCCAUAUCUGCAUAUGCUAGGCUCGUCAAGUUUAACCCGAGUAUUCUGCGUGUGCAAAACUGGCUUGCACCCAUUGUAGAUGGACGUAGAGCUUAUCACACCCGAUCAUCACGUGGUGUCUGGGCACGAUGAACUUUGGCAACGGUGCAUACUCAGGGAGAACACUUCUUGAUAAUUAGUGAGAGAUCAUCUUAAAAAGCUACCGUCGAACUAAGCAAAAUAAGAUGUAUAAAAGAUAAACAUCACAUGCAAUCAAAAUAUGUGACAUGAUAUGACCAUCAUCAUCUUGUGCCUUUGAUCUCCAUCUCCAAAGCAUCGUCAUGAUCUCCAUCGUCAUCGGCAUGACACCAUGAUCUCCAUCAUCUUGAUCUAUAUCAAUGUGUCGUCACAUGGUCAUCUCGCCAACAAUUGCUCUUGCAACUAUUGCUAUCGCAUAGCGAUAAAGUAAAGCAAUUAUUUGGCGCUUGCAUCUUAUGCAAUAGAGACAACCAUAAGGCUUCUGCCAGUUGCCGAUAACCUCGACAAAACAUGAUCAUAUUAUACAACAACUUAUAUCUCAUCACGUCUUGACCAUAUCACAUCACAACAUGCCCUGCAAAAACAAGUUAGAUGUCCUCUACUUUGUUGUUGCAAGUUUUACGUGGCUGCUACUGGGCUUAGCAAGAACCGUUCUUACCUACGCAUCAAAACCACAAUGAUAGUUUGUCAAGUUGGUGCUGUUUUAACCUUCGCAAGGACCGGGCGUAGCCACACUCGGUUCAACUAAAGUUGGAGAAACUGACACCCGCUAGCCACCUGUGUCCAAAGCACGACGGUAGAACCAGUCUCGCGUAAGCGUACGCGUAAUGUCGGUCCGGGCCGCUUCAUCCAACAAUACCACCGAACCAAAGUAUGACAUGCUGGUAAGCAGUAUGACUUAUAUCGCCCACAACUCACUUGUGUUCUACUCAUGCAUAUAACAUCAAACCAUAAAACCUAGGCUCGGAUGCCACUGUUGGGGAACGUAGUAAUUUCAAAAAAUUUCCUACGCACACGCAAGAUCAUGGUGAUGCAUAGCAACGAGAGGGGAGAGUGUUGUCUAUGUACCCUCAUAGACCGAAGCGGAAGCGUUGACGCCAUAGAGGAAGUAGUCGUAUGUCUUCCCGAUCCAACCGAUCCAAGCACCGUUACUCCGGCACCUCCGAGUUCUUGACACACGUACAACUUGAUGACGCACCCCGGGCUCCGAUCCAGCAAAGCUUCGGGGAGGAGUUUCGUUAGCACGACGGCGUGGUGACGAUCUUGAUGUUCAACUGUCGCAGGGCUUCACCUAAGCACCGCUACAAUAUGACCGAGGUGUAAUAUCAUGAAGGGGGGCACCGCACACGGCUAAGGAACGAUCACGAAGAUCAACUUGUGUGUCCUGGGGUGCCCCCCUGCCCCCGUAUAUAAAGGAGCAAGGGGGAGGCCGGCUGGCCCUUGGGGCGCGCCAAGGAGAGGGGGGGAGUCCUCCUCCUAGUGGGAGUAGGACUCCCCUUUCCUAGUCCAACUAGGAAUAGAGAGGGGAAGGAAAGAGAGGGAGAGGGAGAGGGAAAGGGGGGCCGCGCCCCCCUCCUAGUCCUAUUCGGACUCCCCAUGAGGGGGGGGCGCCACCUCCUGGGCUGCUGCCCUCUCUCUCCCCUCAGGCCCACUAAGGCCCAAUACUUCCCCGAGGGGUUCCGGUAACCCCUCCGGCACUCCGGUUUUACCCGAAAUCACUCGGAACAAUUCCGGUGUCCGAAUAUAGCCGUCCAAUAUAUCGAUCUUUAUGUCUCAACCAUUUCGAGACUCCUCGUCAUGUCCGAGACACGUCUCUGUUCAAUAACCAAUAGCGGGACCUGGAUGCCCAUAUUGGUUCCUACAUAUUCUACGAAGAUCUUUAUUGGUCAGACCGCAUAACAAUAUACGUUGUUCCCUUUGUCAUCGGUAUGUUACUUGCCCGAGAUUCGAUCGUCGGUAUCCAAUACCUAGUUCAAUCUCGUUACCGGCAAGUCUCUUUACUCGUUCCAUAAUACAUCAUCUCACAACUAACUCAUUAGUUGUAAUGCUUGCAAGGCUUAUGUGAUGUGCAUUACCGAGAGGGCCCAGAGAUACCUCUCCGACAUUCGGAGUGACAAAUCCUAAUCUCGAAAUACGCCAAUCCAACAAGUACCUUCGGAGACACCUGUAGAGCACCUUUAUAAUCACCCAGUUACGUUGUGACAUUUGGUAGCACACAAAGUGUUCCUCUGGUAAACGGGAGUUGCAUAAUCUCAUAGUCAUAGGAACAUGUAUAAGUCAUGAAGAAAGCAACAUACUAAACGAUCGAGUGCUAAGCUAACGGAAUGGGUCAUGUCAAUCACAUCAUUCUCCUAAUGAUGUGAUCCCGUUAAUCAAAUGACAACUCAUGUCUAUGGCUAGGAAACUUAACCAUCUUUGAUCAACGAGCUAGUCAAGUAGAGGCAUAAUAGUGACACUCUGUUUGUCUAUGUAUUCACACAUGUAUUAUGUUUCCGGUUAAUAUAAUUCUAGAAUGAAUAAUAAACAUUGAUCAUUAAAUAAGGAAAUAAAUAAUAACUUUAUUUUGAGAAAGGUCUAGGUGAUAGGGUUUGGCUACGGUGACAAAGUGCAAAAAGAAUCAACUUAAUCGGAGCUACGGUCUAGGAGAUAUGGCCAAAUAGGGUUUAAAUUUGAAUUUAAAAUAAUUCAAAUUUGUAUUUGUCAAAAACUUGCAAAGGUAGGUCAUCUGGAUAGAUCUAAUUGAGGCGACCGCUAGUUUCGUAGAAUUUGGACUUACGGUUAAAAAGUUGUGGCUAAACUAAAAUCAGGGACUAAUCAACUAAUUCCAGGGACUAGUUGGUGAAACAAAAAAUAAACUAAACUAAGAACAGGUCCUCGACCACGUGGCAGAUUCCUACUGGCCGAGUAGCGUUCGCUGCGGAAGCUAUUCGGCGAAUGACCGCUAUCUAAGCAAAACAGCUACCGCGGCUAAAAAAUGAAAACCGGAGACCGGUUUAUUUUAAACCGCGGUUAACCGAUCUAAUCCAAAUAAAUAAUAAUAAAAAAGAACUAAACUAAACGAACGAGGCGGGAGGCUCGGCUUACAGCGGCGAUGACGACGAGCAGGGGGCGGCGGCGUUGGCGUCAGGCGGCGGACGGGCGGUGGCGGCGGUGCUCCUUGGCGGCGGGGAAGGAGACGAAUGGGACGAGCACGACGUGGGCGGUUCAGUGGUGGCGACGGCGCACGUCGGGGUGGCCUGGACGGGUGGAGCGAGGUGGCGGCGUUUGGAGCUCUGGUGAGGACGCAACACGUCGGGGCGUUGUCUCUGGUGGUCCCUAAGAGCAAAGAAAAUGUCAAACGGAUGCUCAUUGACCCGGGCAAUAUUUUGGUGAAGAAGAACAGUGUCGGGGCGGUUUACUGGCGGCGUUUUACUCCGGCAAGGAAGCUCCGGCUCUAGCAAGAUCCAAAGCAGGAGGGCGUCGGCUACGGGUGGUGUGAGGCGAAACGAAGUGGCAGAAUGGAGAGAGGGGGUCGAGGGCUUCUUAUAGGCGCGGAGAGAGGGCUCGGGAGCGAGGGAUAAGCUCUAUCCCAAGAGCUUCGGCCGGCGGGUUCGGGCGUGUGCGUGUGUGUGCUCAUCCAGCGGGGUCUGCAGGAGGUUAGGGACGACCUGGGGAGUGGGCCCCGCGGGUCAGCGAUAGGGGAGAGAUGAGCGAGGGAGAGAGACGAGCGGGCCAGCGACGCGAGCGCUCGGGCGCUGGGAGUAGGCCGCGGGCCGAAGUGCGCGGCUGGCUGGGCCUGUGUGCGGGUAUGCGUGUUUUUUUAACUUAAAGAAAAAAUGCAACAGAAGAAAAUAAAAAUUCUACAUAGGCAUACUAAAAUGUUCAGAAAAAAUACCCUAAAUAAGAUGAACUAUUUUUCAGGUUCAAAUAAAUUCCAUAAAAAUUCAUAAAAGUCAAACAGUGCUACUGUUGCAUUUAAAAUCAAUAAAAGUCAUUUUUUUUAAAUAGCAAAAUGAUUCCAAUUUUAUUUUCUCCUAAUUUUCCAUUGAAGGGAAUUAUUUUACCCUUAUUUCCAUUUAUUUAUUUUUAGGAGAAAAUAAUUUGAAUUAAAACUAAAUAACUCCGAAGAGGAUUUGAAAUCUGGAAAUUCAAAUAACUUCAAAGUGACUUUGAAAUUAUUUCUUUGAAACUUCCAACUCUGUUUCUUCAAAUUUGAAGAAGUCAUUUUAUCUUCCCUCAUGAACUCAUUAACUUGCUUAAAGUUUCUAAAUUUGAAAUAUUUCAAAUGGAAUUCAAAUCAUUUUCAAACCCCUUUUUAUUUUCUUAAAAUGGAAGAAGUCAUAUUAUCUUCACUCUAGGGUCUUGUGAUGAGAUGACUUUGAAUUCAUGGAGAUCAAGAAAAAUGCAAGAUGAGAGUUUUGGGAAAGUCCUUUUAUUCCCUCUCAUUCAACUUUCAAAAAAAAUCAAUUUCCACUCAAUUUCACACCAUCAAUCACACAACAAACAAACAAGCAAUCAUAAUUAUUUAUUUAAUAUAACCUUCCAAAAUUUAGAAUUUUGGUAUGUUACAGGUACGGAGAGACAGACAGGGGGAGAGGAGUGCGGCUAGGAGGUGGUGCAAGAGGCCUACUAUGUCGAGGGGGGAGGAGUGUGCGACUAUGAGAUCGAUGAAAAGAGGGGCGGGAGUGUGCACCUGCGUGGAACCGUAUUGGAGAUAGGGGGCAGACGGGUGAGAAGAGAAGAGGGGAAGUAUGUGUUUGUGGUAGGCACACUUGGAUAGAGAAGUAUAUCGACCGGUGUGUGCCGGAAAGAAGGAGUCGGGGGGCCUACACACACCGUAGGUGAACGACCUAAAGAGAAAUAACGAACGUGCGCGAUGGAGGGGACGCUGAGGGAGGGUGAGAGGGGGGCGGGCGUAUGCGUGCACAAUAGAAAAUUAGCGCUAGCUAGCUACAAAGAGAAGAGGAUCGUGAAGGUGUUAAAGACGAACAUAGAUCAUAAUUCAUUAUAAAAAAGUGGAUACUAAGAAUUGCUGUAAAACCGUUUUAUCACACAUAUUGUUCGGAAACUCUAAUAUUUUCUUUGCAAUAUUUUCUUGUAAAUGUAUUUUGCUUAUCCUAUUUCAUGAUCAAGGAAAUGUAUUCUUUCCUUGCAAAUUUCCAUCUUAUUUUUUUAUAAUAUGAGCCCAUUUUGUUCUACCUUCAGAAAGAACACUUCAAGAUGGGCUAUAUGCUCGAUGUACGACUUUGAGAAUACUAAUAAAUCAUCUACAUACACCAAUAUAAAUGCUUGAUUCUGAUUAAAUAUAUUUUGCAUUUUCCUUGAAAAAAGUGCAGGAGCAUUCUUUUGGCCCAAUGGCAUGAGUAAUGAUUCAUAAUAGCUUUCUUGACAAGUAAAUGUUGUCGAAUGGAUAGAUUCUUCGACCAUUUUUACUUGCCAAAAUCAUUCUUUUAAAUCAAAUUUAGAUAAAUAUUUGCUUCAUUGUAUUCUAUUGAUCCAUUCCUACUUAUUAGGUAUAUUGUAUGCAUCUUCUAUGUAUUAUCAUUAAGGCAUUUAAAAUUUAUUACCAUUCUGGAUUUACCUCUUACUUCUUCAUCGGGAAUUCUAACUAUAAAAGCAACAGACCGAUGAGGGUUUCUGCUUUCUGUCAUUGCUUUUAUUUUUCGUAACUCUUCAAUAUGCAUUUUGAACUUUUCAAAAAUCUUUAGGAGUAGCUUCUAUUGGUCCUUACUUAAUUAUAUAAUCCGGAUUUGUGACGAGGCCAAUCAGUACAUCUGACGGUGUGCACAAUGGUGUAAUAUCCCAGUUAGUACUCAUCAUAUUUUUCGUUAUGUUAGUUAAAGAUUAAAUAUAUUUAAACAUGUUGUAUGCAUGCUUAAUUAACUCGAAUACAUUACCCAUAGAUAGGGAUGUGACACUAGGCGCACAGCACAAAUAUACUUGUUUCUGGGUUGAUCCGUAAAGAGAAUUUGAUUUUCACGCAGAUAGAUCAUGGCAUACAAAUAUUGUUUGAUAACGAUUUUGCCGGCGAGUUGACGUACAUUGAGGAUUAGUCUGAAUUAAAUUGAUGUUACCUGAUUGCAAGGCCACUGACGAUCAUCUGGCGAAAACAUACACUGUACGGGUAGCCUGCCGCAGCCUCGGGGUGAUCGAUCCGCAUUUCCUCUCGUAGAGCAGGGCGCGCGCUGAGCAGCUGAAAGUACACAGAAGUGCAGAUUUUUAUGGUAUGCCUGAUGGAAGCCAUAUAGACACACAGAUAAACGCGAAGCAAUCAGGCAGCCCAAAAAGAGAGAAGAUGACAUACCGCCUGCACGCACCGAACCUGCACACAGAGGCUGCACAAUACACUCGAUCGGAGCACUGGACGAAGGAUGAU